RNAcentral lists this ribosomal RNA (466 nucleotides) under uncultured bacterium. Its description in RNAcentral is "partial 16S ribosomal RNA". It matches the Rfam family "Bacterial small subunit ribosomal RNA", at positions 356 to 814 of the family's 1533-position model. The record is from RNAcentral.
AGGGAAUCUUCCACAAUGGACGAAAGUCUGAUGGAGCAACGCCGCGUGAGUGAUGAAGGGUUUCGGCUCGUAAAACUCUGUUGUUGGAGAAGAACAGGUGUGAGAGUAACUGUUCACAUCUUGACGGUAUCCAACCAGAAAGCCACGGCUAACUACGUGCCAGCAGCCGCGGUAAUACGUAGGUGGCAAGCGUUGUCCGGAUUUAUUGGGCGUAAAGCGAGCGCAGGCGGUUUCUUAGGUCUGAUGUGAAAGCCUUCGGCUUAACCGGAGAAGUGCAUCGGAAACCAGGAGACUUGAGUGCAGAAGAGGACAGUGGAACUCCAUGUGUAGCGGUGAAAUGCGUAGAUAUAUGGAAGAACACCAGUGGCGAAGGCGGCUGUCUGGUCUGUAACUGACGCUGAGGCUNGAAAGCAUGGGUAGCGAACAGGAUUAGAUACCCUGGUAGUCCAUGCCGUAAACGAUGAGU